This 487-nucleotide ribosomal RNA is filed under the name uncultured bacterium. Its description in RNAcentral is "SSU rRNA". It matches the Rfam family "Bacterial small subunit ribosomal RNA", at positions 26 to 518 of the family's 1533-position model. The record is from RNAcentral.
AGAACGAACGUUGGCGGCGUGGAUUAGGCAUGCAAGUCGAACGAAUCCCCAGGGGCUUGCUCUUGGGGGGAAGUGGCGAAAGGGGCAGUAAGGCGUGGGUAACCUACCCCGGGGAUCGGGAUAGCCUUCCUAACGGAUGGGUAAUACCGGGCGAUGUAACGAGGAGACAUCUCUUUGUUACGAAAUGAAUUUCGCCUCGGGAGGGGCUCACGUGCUAUUACCUAGUUGGUGAGGUAACGGCUCACCAAGGGAAAGAUGGCUAGCGGGUGUGAGAGCACGACCCGCGCCACUGGCACUGCGACACUGGCCAGACUCCUACGGGAGGCUGCAGUCGAGGAUCUUCGGCAAUGGGCGCAAGCCUGACCGAGCGACGCCGCGUGCGCGAUGAAGGCCUUCGGGUUGUAAAGCGCUGUCGAGGGGAGGAAGCUCCGUAAGGGGUUGACCUAUCCCUGGAGGAAGCACGGGCUAAGUUCGCGCCAGCAGCCGC